This 420-nucleotide long non-coding RNA is filed under the name Sus scrofa (pig). Its description in RNAcentral is "lncRNA (ENSSSCG00030073873.1)". The record is from RNAcentral. Lineage: Eukaryota; Metazoa; Chordata; Mammalia; Artiodactyla; Suidae.
AUGUGUAACUGUAGUGACCCAAGUCCCCAGAUCACCCCCAGACUGAGGACAGCCUGCACUAUGAUCUCCUCGCCACUGAGGUGUCAGCUGACAGUCACAGAGGCUGCGCCCAAGGAGCGGGGUUCUGGUGGUAGGAUUUUGGGCGUGGAUGAGCCCCGUGAAGGUAGGAUGUUCUUCCUCAAAAAGGUGGCUGCCUUCUUCCUGUGUCCUCACAUGGUGGAGACUUAUCUAUUUUUAAAUACAUUAAAUUUUUUAAGAGUAUUUUUUUUUUUUUUUCCUUUGGCUGAACCGUUGGCAUGUGGAAGUUUGGGCCAUGGAUUGAUUCCAAGCUGCAGCUGCAACCUAUGCCACAGCUGCAGCAACGCCCAACCUUUAACCCACAGCAUUGGGCAAGGGAUCAAACCUGAGCCUCUGCAGUGA